This 218-nucleotide ribosomal RNA is filed under the name uncultured bacterium. Its description in RNAcentral is "partial 16S ribosomal RNA". It matches the Rfam family "Bacterial small subunit ribosomal RNA", at positions 583 to 793 of the family's 1533-position model. The record is from RNAcentral.
UUAAGUCAGAUGUGAAAGACCCGGGGCGUUAACCUCGGAAUUGCAUUUGUAAACUAGGCAGGCUAGAGUCUUGUAGAGGGGGUAGGAAGUUUCAGGUGUAGCGGUGAAAUAGCGUAGAGAUCUGAAGGAAUACCAGUGGCGAAGGCGGCCCCCUCGGACAAAGACUGACGCUCAGAUGCGAAAGCGUGGGGAGCAAACAGGAUUAGAUACCCUGGUAG